GAACUCCGGAUUGCUCUCACGUGAUUGCUGCAAAAUGCAACAUGGAGACAUCGUGAACAAAUGUGUUUUUGUAAUUUUGUGCUGCAGGUUUGGUGGGGCGGCGGCUUAUAAGCACAGUCAAUGCGUAAAAAUGAAUGGGUUAAUGUCUGGUUCCUGUUAAGUGCCGUUCACGGAGAGCUUCCCAGAGCCCCAGGGGAUUCCUGGCUGUGCAACAUUCAGUCAUCAAUAUACAUUGUGAUGUGACACUGAAAGCAACGUUAUUGACAAAUCACUCAAGAUCAGGGAAUCAUCUUAUAAUACGUAAAGAUUCUUCAUGAAGAUGACUGUGCAAGCAAUUUCUAUGGGGAAAAUGAAAACGGAAUGAAUUUGUUUAAAAAACAUUCUGCGCUUCCCAAAUAAUUGACAAUCUGCGCAAGUGAUUACAUGGAAAGACAAGAGUGCCCAGAUGCUGGAAUAUUGGGCAAAAACAAAGUGCUGGACAAACUCAGUGGGUCAUUGCAGCACCUGUGGAUGGCAAUGGACAGGUGAGAUUUCGGGUCAAGCUGCAGAUGGGUCCUGACCCACGACAUCAUCGGUCCAAUUUCCUCCACAGAUGCUGCCUGACCUGCGGAGGUCCUCCAGCACUUUGUUUUCUUUUGCACAGUGACAAAGGGAUUUGUUUUCCAAUUUAUUGGGCUAAACUGGACCUCGAUAAACUUUUGAACACAUGAGCUUGUGGCUAAUGCAAAUCUCCUUGAACUUGUGGGAGAAGUUGCAUCUGAUCCACCAGUGCUCAUAGUGUGAAGUGUACGUGAAAAAUAUCAGAAGUUACUUUGAAUAAACCAAUGUGAGCUGCACAACCUUUGCAUGACAUUGGAUGUGUGGUUAAAUUUCAGGGAUGAUAAGUGUUUCCGAUAUUAGCUAAGUAUGAUCUUUCUGGAGAAAUCUCACGAAAGACCAAAGUGAUACUUAGCAUUAUUGAAAAAGAGCCUUGUGCUUUCUCUUGCAAUUAUUCACUGUUCUUCUGUCUAAUUGCAUUUUCUGUACUGCCCACACCAUCUUCAGUGAUCUUCUGAUAAUUGUCCAGAUAUGUUUCCCGUGGUCUUUCUCUGUAUAGUGAUUAGUCUCUCUCUGGCUAUCACUAUUUAACAACUUAGCUUUCACUUUACCUUGAAUUCUCCUUUCUUAGCUUUGCAUAUGCAAGGAUGCAUUGCUAUUCAUCACUGAUUGAAAAAUAUUCAAUUUUGUCUCCCUCAGUGUGGCUUACCCAAGUCGUCCCUCAUUUAUGUGAGUCUCUUGACAUCUGACACUAACAUUAAUUCUACUGUUCUCUGAAAUCCAUUGCUUUUCUGGGUGAGUUUGGCCACUUAAGCUUCUUCCAGGGAUCGAAGCUGCCUUUUUCCUAUCUAGGAUUUUCGAUUACUCUAUUAUAUAGGAUUCCUUUCGCAGGAAUUUCCAGCUUGCUUCAUUUCACAAUGUUGCUUGAAGCAGAACAAAAUAGGAUAUAUGUUACAUUUAUGAUUUUGCUGCAUGCAGGAGUGUUAUUCCACUUGUCAAUUAGCGUUCUUCAAACCUCUCUUGGGAAUUUUUUUUUUUACCCAGUACUAUAUGUGACAAUUUUCAAAGAUAAUUCAUUAUAGAAACCGUCUAUCCUCCUGGUUCAGAGAAUAUUAAAUUGAACAUUAUGAUUCAA
Molecule: long non-coding RNA, 1672 nt
Organism: Amblyraja radiata (thorny skate)
Lineage: Eukaryota; Metazoa; Chordata; Chondrichthyes; Rajiformes; Rajidae
Exons: 2
Source: RefSeq, a predicted model, not a curated record